RNAcentral lists this ribosomal RNA (229 nucleotides) under uncultured bacterium. RNAcentral's name for it is "partial 16S ribosomal RNA". It matches the Rfam family "Bacterial small subunit ribosomal RNA", at positions 568 to 796 of the family's 1533-position model. The record is from RNAcentral.
UGCGUAGGCGGAAAAUUAAGUCAGUGAUGAAAUCCUGCAGCUUAACUGUAGAACUGUUAUUGAUACUGAUUUUCUUGAAUUCAGUCGAGGUAGGCGGAAUGUGUAAUGUAGCGGUGAAAUGCUUAGAUAUUACACAGAACACCGAUUGCGAAGGCAGCUUACUAAGCUGAUAUUGACGCUGAGGCACGAAAGCGUGGGGAGCGAACAGGAUUAGAUACCCUGGUAGUCC